RNAcentral lists this ribosomal RNA (220 nucleotides) under uncultured archaeon. RNAcentral's name for it is "partial 16S ribosomal RNA". The record is from RNAcentral.
AUUUUACCGCGGCUGCUGCACCCCGUAGGGAGUUUACCGCGGCUGCUGCACCCCGUAGGGAGUUUACCGCGGCUGCUGGCACCAGUCUUGCCCACCACUUAUUCUCCAAGCUAUUUACACUUGACAAAAGCCUAUACUAAAAGUAUAAGCACUUAGGCUUCCCAUGUCACGCUUUCGCGCAUUGCAAAGAUUUCCCACCUGGUGCACCCCGUAGGGAAUC